RNAcentral lists this ribosomal RNA (371 nucleotides) under uncultured bacterium. RNAcentral describes it as "bacterial SSU rRNA". It matches the Rfam family "Bacterial small subunit ribosomal RNA", at positions 524 to 898 of the family's 1533-position model. The record is from RNAcentral.
UACGUAGGGGGCAAGCGUUGUCCGGAUUUACUGGGUGUAAAGGGCGCGUAGGCGGGCUAAUAAGUCAGAGGUGAAAUCCUGCAGCUUAACUGCAGAACUGCCUUUGAUACUGUUAGUCUUGAGUUCGAAAGAGAGAGAUGGAAUUCCGGGUGUAGUAGUGAAAUACGUAGAUAUCCGGAGGAACACCGGAGGCGAAGGCGAUCUCUUGGUUCGAUACUGACGCUGAGGCGCGAAAGCGUGGGGAUCAAACAGGAUUAGAUACCCUGGUAGUCCACGCUGUAAACGAUGAAUACUAGGUGUUGGGAAAUAAUCUCAGUGCCGCAGCAAACGCAUUAAGUAUUCCACCUGGGGAGUACGAUCGCAAGGUUGAA